UUUUCUACCACAAGAACAAACCUGGGAGAAUUAUUCCAGAUUAUAUGAAUGUAUGUACACAGACUACAACA
Molecule: long non-coding RNA, 71 nt
Organism: Gavialis gangeticus (Gharial)
Lineage: Eukaryota; Metazoa; Chordata; Crocodylia; Gavialidae
Exons: 3
Source: RefSeq, a predicted model, not a curated record